UAGGCUUCGUUUUCGCCUGGAGGGCCGAGGCGACGUCGUAUACUCAUGAAAACGGAUUUGAAGUAUCGUGGCACAUAACCGAAGACCUUUAAUUUUCGGAUCGUGAAUUCGAGGCCGUUCAGGUGGUCGCGCGAGAGAUCACGCCAAACCGGGUGCCGGAUGCCGCGGGAGGCCGAUUGCAAGUGUCGACAAGCAAUCGGAAUGCACUAACAGGUGGGUUGUGCUUACCGAAGCGACUAGGUCGCCCUCAUGUCGAAGAAAAAUAUGAUUUCCUAGUUGAUGCAUAUAAUGGGUUAAAUGCUAUAUGAUGCAUAUGAUGGGAAGAUUGGGUAAAUGCAUAUAAUGUGAGAAAUGUAUAUUACAUGAUAAUUGCAUAUGAAUAUAAUGCAUGCUAGUGGACAAUGAUGUUAAAUGUUAAAUGCAUGCUAGUGGACAAUGAUGUUAAAUGUUGAAUAUAAUGCAUGCUAGUGGCAAGUAAUAUGUUGAAUGUUAAAUGAAUGCAUGAACUAAAUGUUAAUGAAAUGCAUGGAAAUGAUGUUGUAGGAAUGCAUGGGAUAUAUUAUACUAGAGGACAUAUAAUUGGUUGUGCUAAAUGAUCUAUGCAAAUUGGAACAUAUGCAUGUUAACGUAUUUGUGGACUAUGUUGGGUAACAUAUGCUAAUUAACAUAUGCAUGUUGACUUGAGUUUAAAACUCUUGGAUGAUUAGAAAACUUGACAUUGGAAAUACAAUGUAGUAUUAAUAUAAUGAUAUGUUUGGUUUCCUACAAUGAGAUGAUAAAUGUGGAUAAGACCUAGGUAAAUGACAACCUAGAGAUUGGGUAAAAGUAAUGCAUCGAGAACACUUGAAUUAUGACGAGUGGCAUAUAUGAAUCUUAGUGUAGCUGAGACACUAGAUUGAUGAGUAUAGAAACCUAUUGGUUCUAUGUUGAUACUAUCCUUAGUUGAUAGGGUGCUCCCAAUUCUGAGAGAUUGGAUCGUGCUCACAUAGCCUGUCUGCGCUUGGAGGGGUCGCUCCCCACAAGCUGUGCACUCCGGAGGUUGGUCACUAGAGGGACAGUCAGUGUGCUGUCUGGACGGUCUGUGUGCUGUCCGCAGGCGGUCUCGGGGGACAGUUCAGUGAGACUUCUCCCCUAUGAGACUUUGAGAUGUGAGAUUGAGGGCGACCCCCUUCGGGUUAGCCAAGUGAUUGGGUAACAAGCUUAUGAGCUAUAGUGAUUGUCCUACUUGAGGGGAUUUAAGGCCGAGGUGCAAGUGAGAUGUCCUUCGCCUCGUGCCUGGCUUUGUGCGGUACUCCGCAGAUGAUUGACUCAAGACCGAGUCGGGCGGCUAGCUUUGUAAAGGUAGAUGAAACCUUAUGAUUAAAAUGGUACAUGACAGAAAACCUUAAAUGUCAAUUGGAUGAAAGUAGUAAUCGAUUGAAUUACUAGUUGGUUGUAUAGUUGCAUUAUUGCAUGAUCUUCAUAUUGCAUAUCGCGAGGCAAUGCAUGGUAUUGUUAGUUGCAUGAUCUUAUUAUCAUAUCUAUCUGUUUAUUGAACUAACCUGCAGCUUGCCUCCUUCGGACAUGUCGGUCGAGCUUUUCCCUUGGGUGGCCGUACCCACUGGGAACUAUGGAGUUAGUUCUCACCCCACGUUGCUUUUGGGGUGUUACAGGUUUGCACGAGUGCGGCGCGGUGGCGCGAGGCGAGGGCGUAGCUCCGUAGUUAGCGCCCUACCACAGAGACCAGAGCUAGCAGUACCCCGUCGACAUAGCUUAGAGGUAUAGAAAAUGGAAAGAACACAAUGUAUCAAAUUGUAAUGAGUAAAUGAUGUAAUAACUUAGAUUGCAUUGGGAUGAAAAGGAAUAGUAAUUGGGAUGUAAAAAGUAUGAAUGUGAAUGCUUGUAAUAACUUAGGAUGUGUUUAUGUUGUUUGAUAUCUUCCUUAUGCAAUCGUUGUAUGUUGAAUACUGUUCCUGUUUGGAACCUGUUGUAAUUGUAUUGAUUGCGAUGCCUUGAACGUACAGGGGAGACUCUGUUCGCGGUACAGGGGAAUCCCCGGUCCGUUCGGCGCUGUCGGCGCCGCGACCUCGACCAAAUAGGCGGGGCUCGCGGGCUGUGACAAAACUAGUAAAUAAAUGAUGUAAUCGAUGAUUGUAUUUGGAAGUCGAAUGUAAAAGAAAAUGAGAUGUAAAGUGCAUAUAAUGGGAAUGCUUCUAAUAGCUUUAGUUGUUUUAUGCUUUUGAUACUUCCUUAUGCAAUCUUUGAUUGAAAUGUGUUCUUGGUUGGAACUUCGUACAUUGUAUUGAUUGCGACGCCUAGAACGUACAGUGGAGACUCUGUGCACGAUACAGGGGAAACCCUGUCCGUUUGGCGGUAUGUUGGCGUGCCCGAAAUCGACCAAAGAGGCGGGCUCGGGGCGUGACACCAAGUCUCACAUUCACACAAGUAUAGGGUUCCAAUAUACAUGUCCUCUAUGGUUCAUAUCAAUCACUAUGUUCAUCUACGUUAGAAGCAUAUAAUUGAAGCCCAACCAAUAUUCACAUGUAAAUUACCCUAGUAUGCAUGAAUGACUAUUGACAUAUAUGCUCAAUAAAAGAUGAUAUUGACAUAGAAGGGAAUCCAACGAUUCCAAAGUGCACCCCCCAC
Molecule: long non-coding RNA, 2625 nt
Filed under: Ananas comosus (pineapple)
Lineage: Eukaryota; Viridiplantae; Streptophyta; Magnoliopsida; Poales; Bromeliaceae
Description: long non-coding RNA (ACOM_LNC041890)
Source: RNAcentral